CCACGUGCAGCUGAUGACAGCACAGCUGCUGAGACUCUAUGAUUGCUCAGUCUCAAAGUAAAUGACGCACUGUGG
This is a small nucleolar RNA of Bison bison bison, 75 nucleotides long. Ensembl annotates it as small nucleolar RNA, C/D box 105B. Its record names the gene SNORD105B. Lineage: Eukaryota; Metazoa; Chordata; Mammalia; Artiodactyla; Bovidae. The record is from Ensembl.